Molecule: ribosomal RNA, 253 nt
Filed under: uncultured bacterium
Lineage: Bacteria
Description: partial 16S ribosomal RNA
Rfam family: Bacterial small subunit ribosomal RNA
Source: RNAcentral
UACGAAGGGGGCUAGCGUUGUUCGGAAUCACUGGGCGUAAAGCGCACGUAGACGGCUUGUUAAGUCAGGGGUGAAAUCCUGGAGCUCAACUCCAGAACUGCCCUUGAUUCUGGCAAGCUGGAGUGUAGGAGAGGUUGGUGGAACUGCGAGUGUAGAGGUGAAAUUCGUAGAUAUUCGCAAGAACACCAGUGGCGAAGGCGGCCAACUGGCCUACUACUGAUGCUGAGGUGCGACAGCGUGGGGAGCAAACAGG